This 254-nucleotide ribosomal RNA is filed under the name uncultured bacterium. RNAcentral's name for it is "partial 16S ribosomal RNA". It matches the Rfam family "Bacterial small subunit ribosomal RNA", at positions 524 to 776 of the family's 1533-position model. The record is from RNAcentral.
UACGGAGGUGGCAAGCGUUGUUCGGAAUUACUGGGCGUAAAGGGCGCGUAGGCGGUCUUCUAAGUCCUGUGUGAAAUCCCUCGGCUCAACUGAGGAACUGCACGGGAUACUGGAAGACUUGAGUUCGGGAGAGGGAAGCGGAAUUCCGGGUGUAGCGGUGAAAUGCGUAGAUAUCCGGAGGAACACCGGUGGCGAAGGCGGCUUCCUGGACCGAUUACUGACGCUGAGGCGCGAAAGCUAGGGGAGCAAACGGG